CUCCCAAAAGCUUGCAGCUGUUCCAUUCAGUCACAUCCCUGUGGCCCUCAACAGUUUCCCACCACUUCGACUUUAUUGUAAAAAAAAAAAAUGUCCUCAGACUUUCAGUGAGCUGAAAUUUCACCCCACCCUCUGAAGAAGAAAGCAGUUGCACCUGUUCCGCUGGUUGCAAGGGUCUCGCACAGCUUUGAAUAGUUCAUUAUGGGUGGCUCCCUUCCAUUUGAUUUGGAAUCAGGAGCUCAUCCUCUGAUUAAUAGGCUGCCAAGAAGGCAAGCUACUUAAAUGCUGAACAAAUCCAAAUGAAUUGUAAAGAGCUGAGACACCCGAUGGAUCCAUAAGGACAUCUAACAGUUUAUUAGGACCUUUACAAGCAGACAAGAAUGUCUUCCUUCUGCAAAGGCUUGUUCCAUUCCAUCUAUCUCUUUCAAUACCGCAAGGAAAUUAUUCUUGGAACACCAGACAUACAAACUUCUCUCUGUGUUCAAAAUAUUUUAGAUUCAUCAUCAUGAAAGCUGAAAUAAAGGAUCAUGGAAAAUUAGGACCAUGUGGAGCGAUGGUAAUUUUUCAGGAUAUUCAUCUGGAAACUAAAAUAGGCUUAUUAUGUUUUUUCUUUCACAUACACUGUCAGACCUCCCAUACCAUGCAAUAGUUAGAUUGCAAUCU
This is a long non-coding RNA of Sceloporus undulatus (fence lizard), 663 nucleotides long. RefSeq lists it as uncharacterized. The record is from RefSeq and is a predicted model, not a curated record. The transcript is spliced from 3 exons. NCBI's taxonomy places the organism in Eukaryota, Metazoa, Chordata, Lepidosauria, Squamata, Phrynosomatidae.